AGUCUUACAGUGAUUAAAGUGAUGAAAAUUCCAACUAUGCAUGCCCUGCUCAGAGUGUCCAAGAAGAGCCUACCAACGGGGGCUACUUAAGCUCUCAAAGGCCAAACACACAAAUGGCAUUUUGAGUACAAGAGGCCUGUCUGAACUCUGAAAAGGCGGGGCAGCGGGCCUGCAGCUCCUGGAAUUCAGGGAGACCCGGAAAUCUCACCCUGCCCUCUUCUUGCGUUGUGUUUGUCACAGCCUUGCCCCUCUUGCUCAUCUUGAAAAUGGAAAAGAUGCUCGCAGGCUGCUUUCUGCUGAUCCUCGGACAGAUCCUCCUCCUCCCUGCCGAGGCCAGGGAGCGGUCACGUGGGAGGUCCAUCUCUAGAGGCAGACACGCUCGGACCCACCCGCAGACGGCCCUUCUGGAGAGCUCCUGUGAGAACAAGCGGGCAGACCUGGUUUUCAUCAUUGAUAGCUCCCGCAGUGUCAACACCCAUGACUAUGCAAAGGUCAAGGAGUUCAUCGUGGACAUCUUGCAAUUCUUGGACAUUGGUCCUGAUGUCACCCGAGUGGGCCUGCU
RNAcentral lists this small RNA (562 nucleotides) under Pongo abelii (Sumatran orangutan). RNAcentral describes it as "retained intron". The record is from RNAcentral. Lineage: Eukaryota; Metazoa; Chordata; Mammalia; Primates; Hominidae.